Molecule: ribosomal RNA, 563 nt
Filed under: Streptomyces sp. 334A06
Lineage: Bacteria; Bacillati; Actinomycetota; Actinomycetes; Kitasatosporales; Streptomycetaceae
Description: bacterial SSU rRNA
Rfam family: Bacterial small subunit ribosomal RNA
Source: RNAcentral
UAGUGGCGAACGGGUGAGUAACACGUGGGCAAUCUGCCCUUCACUCUGGGACAAGCCCUGGAAACGGGGUCUAAUACCGGAUAACACUCCUACUCGCAUGGGUGGGGGUUAAAAGCUCCGGCGGUGAAGGAUGAGCCCGCGGCCUAUCAGCUUGUUGGUGAGGUAAUGGCUCACCAAGGCGACGACGGGUAGCCGGCCUGAGAGGGCGACCGGCCACACUGGGACUGAGACACGGCCCAGACUCCUACGGGAGGCAGCAGUGGGGAAUAUUGCACAAUGGGCGAAAGCCUGAUGCAGCGACGCCGCGUGAGGGAUGACGGCCUUCGGGUUGUAAACCUCUUUCAGCAGGGAAGAAGCGAAAGUGACGGUACCUGCAGAAGAAGCGCCGGCUAACUACGUGCCAGCAGCCGCGGUAAUACGUAGGGCGCAAGCGUUGUCCGGAAUUAUUGGGCGUAAAGAGCUCGUAGGCGGCUUGUCACGUCGGGUGUGAAAGCCCGGGGCUUAACCCCGGGUCUGCAUUCGAUACGGGCUAGCUAGAGUGUGGUAGGGNAGAUCGGANUCCU